GAGUAACGCGUGAGGAACCUGCCUCAAAGAGGGGGACAACAGUUGGAAACGACUGCUAAUACCGCAUAAGCCCACGGGUCGGCAUCGAUCUGAGGGAAAAGGAGCAAUCCGCUUUGAGAUGGCCUCGCGUCCGAUUAGCUAGUUGGUGAGGUAAUGGCCCACCAAGGCGACGAUCGGUAGCCGGACUGAGAGGUUGAACGGCCACAUUGGGACUGAGACACGGCCCAGACUCCUACGGGAGGCAGCAGUGGGGAAUAUUGCACAAUGGGGGAAACCCUGAUGCAGCGACGCCGCGUGGAGGAAGAAGGUCUUCGGAUUGUAAACUCCUGUUGUUGAGGAAGAUAAUGACGGUACUCAACAAGGAAGUGACGGCU
This 374-nucleotide ribosomal RNA is filed under the name uncultured bacterium. RNAcentral's name for it is "bacterial SSU rRNA". It matches the Rfam family "Bacterial small subunit ribosomal RNA", at positions 108 to 498 of the family's 1533-position model. The record is from RNAcentral.